RNAcentral lists this long non-coding RNA (7416 nucleotides) under Amborella trichopoda. RNAcentral's name for it is "long non-coding RNA (ATRI_LNC001922)". Lineage: Eukaryota; Viridiplantae; Streptophyta; Magnoliopsida; Amborellales; Amborellaceae. The record is from RNAcentral.
CAAGUUAGAUGUCUAACUUGUUCAAAUAAAAAAAAAACUAUAUAGUUAAAUGAAACUAUAAUUAUAUUUCAUAUGAUUACAUAUGAAAAACUAUGUAAUUAAACAUCACAAAAUUAUGUAAUUAGCUAGCACAAACAUGUGUAAUUAAAUGUCAAAUCAAAAGUUAAUCACAAUUGCUCCUUAGCUACAUCAUUUUGGGUAUCACUUGUGCUCCGUUAGGCAUUACUUGUGCUCUCGAUAAUGGCACCCCUGUACAAAAAUAGAAAAGAAUAUAGAACUCAAUGAUAGUGGACUACUAUGAAAUAAAUUCUAUGAUUAAAACUGAUUUGAAUUUUUUCAUGACUUACAAUGGUUUAACUAUAAGCAUUUAUACUUACAUUUAAAGAAAAUGGAUGUGAGCUCAAGUUAUGAAAGCUAAAUAGCAAGGUAGUUAUGCAAAUUUUCAAAGUUCGAAAAGUGGCAAACAAACAUGAAAACAUUCAUAACAAUUAAACUCUAAUAAUCAAAAUAACUAGGAAACAAAAAUUUAUACUCAUUUGACUUUAGGAACUUAAACUCACAAGUACGAAAGACGACAUAUCAUACAUGUGCUGCAUGUAGAGGGACAAUUCCGCUAUCAUGACCUAUAACCUCACAUUGCGCUUUCCCUUACUCAUUCUCUCCUCAUGCCCUAGUUUGAAUUUUACAUUGCUAGUCCACCCCUUUGGCUAUGCAUGAGCCUUUAUUAUCACAUGUGAGUUUGAAGCCUCGGAGAGGAUGGGAGUUACACAAAGGGUGGGGGAUCAUUUGCAUGUAGGGCUGCCAUGGGCAAAAGAGACAUGUUUCACAUAAGCUUUAUCCAUAGGUAGAAGAGACUAGUUUUGCAAAAGCUUUAUCCAUGUCAAUUCCAGGCUCAACCUUGUCGCAUGCCUCAUCUAUAACCAUCUUUGCAUACUCAUACCCAAACUCACUGCUUAUUUAUGCGAGUGGCAUCUUCAUAAAUGGUAUUUUGUUGUGAGAUUUAAAGUUUGCAGUGUUCAUCAUCAAACUUAUUGUCAAUUAAUUUUAUAGCUUUCCAACAAAUGAAGUCAAGUUAGUAUAUGAAUUUAUAUAUUCCUUGAUUUCCUUGUUCAUGACUUCACUUUUUCCACUUAUCCUAUUGCUAGCAAGGAAGCAAUCUUGUAAAUAUAUGAAUUCAUAUAUGCCCUGAUUUCUUUGUUCAUGGUUUCGCUUUUUCCACUUAUCCUACUGCUAGCAAGGAAUCAAUCUUGUAAAUAUACAUCUACACACUGAUGUCAAAUUUCAUACAAAGACUGCAACCAUCCAUUAUUCAUUAAAUCAUAUCUUUCUAUCAUUAUUGGCCAUCAAUCACCAAAUUCCUUUAUGGUAGUACAAUGGUCAAUGCAUAUGUAGAAAUCCCCAUGGAAGGAUGAAUGAUUGCACUCAACUCGUGCCAUUUUUUGCUCGAACGUUUCUAUAAUAUGCCAUCUACACAAGCAAUGUUAUAACACAUUGGGUAGGUGCUCAUUUUCAUCAACUUGAAUUUUGUAUGCAAAUAACAGGUUGGUGGCAAUCUUAGUAGCAAAGAACUCCAUCAAUCUCUCUCAUCACCUCCUAUCAACUUUGAUUUUUUUUUGUUCCGACUUCUAUAGAUUUCAUUCUUGCAAUCAAGCUUUAUAUCCUUGAGCCUCCAGCUUGAGUACUCAACACUUUGUUAUCUUUGGUGCAUUUCGUCCACAUGAGUUAUACCUAUGGAUCAUCUCUCUUGUGAGCUACGGAAUUCUGCGAUGUGAAGAAAGGAGAUGGACUUUAGAUAGUGAAGCUAAGGCAUGACAAUGUUUUUUUUAUCAUACUUCACAAUUAUCUAUAUACCAUCUUCAUUUUUUCUAAUUCUCAGUAAGACUUUGUUCUUUAUCCUUGUUUGGGGCCGCAAUUGAUUCUCCUCAUAUUUCUGGUGUCCAUGACAUUGUUUUGAACAUACAUAGACAUGAACAUUUAGUGAACCAUCUUUCUUUGAUUGAUGAGUUGAAGAACACCUAACACUAAAUCCCUUUUUCUUUCUUUUUUUGCAUAUUUAUUAUAGAAAUCGAAUGUAGCUUCAUGGGACUCAAACCACAUUACCCUCCUUUGGGAUAUUAUCACUAAUUCAAAACCUAGAAAGUGAACCAUGUUAGCCUCAUUAGUAUCCUCUGCAUCUUGUCCUGCAUUAGACUUGCCACUACCAUCACUGUCCAAAUGAAUAACAUUCUCCAUUUCGUUGUAACAACUGAAAUUGACGUAAUCUACCUCCAUUGAGUAAUCUCAAUAGGUAUUGGUCUCUAUCCCAUGAUCAACUGAAUUACUCCCCAUCUCCAACUCAAUGGUAAACCUCAUGUCCAAGUUCAGAUCCAUUUUAUUUUAUAAACCCGUAACGUGAAAGGAGACAUUAAUUAGGACAUUCAUCUACAUACUUCAAAUCAUAUAAUUAUUUAGGGAACCUUAAAGCUAGCAUUAAAUACUUUUCCUAAUUACAACCAUCAGUAGUAUUACCACUAAUUACUCUGUAGCACUAUUGAUAUUAUUUAAUGGUUAUCUUUUUCAUAGUAAACAUAUUAUCAAAACAAUAAAAUUAAACACAAAAUAUCAGAAGAUCGUUAAAGUGAACUUAAAGAUGGUGCUAUAGUAAUCAGCAUAGAAUAUUGGUAGAUACAUAUGUGCUAUUGUUAUGAUAUAAUUUUGAAAUCAUUUAAAGACAACUCAUAUAUAUUCAAUUCUAAGUUUGGAAAAUACUUAUUAUUAGUCAAUUGCUUACUGGUCAUAUGCCCUAGUCACAAAUUAUCUAUCAUCACAAGCUCAUUACAUAUCUAAAGACAAUAAGAAAUCUUGUAAAAAUAUGAGGGAAAAAAAUAAGUUGCUAAAAAGAAAGAAAACAAUUAAUCAUUUUCGAACCUACAUUAGCCGCAAAAAGAAGAAGUAACUAACAAAAUUCAAAUACUACUAACAAAACUGAAAAAUAGAAUACUCAUCUUUUAGAAAUAAAUGAAGGCAUCCAAAGUUGCUUCCUAUAGGAAAGUAAAACCUACAAAACUUUCAGAGUUUCGCAAUGUCGUCAAAAUGAAUGAUAAUUAUAAUAUUGAUAGAACGAAAUCAAUAGAUUAGUAAAUUUUUCAAAUAUUCUUUAAAAUGUAAGUUCCCAAUAGAAAAUGCACGAACAAGUUAAUAUAAAAUAAUAAAUGCACUAAAUCAUCUACUAUCAUAUAAAUCUUCAUGACUGACUAAAAAACAUCUAGAUCCUGGUUGAUUAAAAAAUAUAAUAGAAGCACACGCACAAGAAGCUAAAUCAUACAUUGAAUGAAAACAUAUCAAAGUUUUUGUAAUUACCUGAUUUUCAAAGGGAUAUUUAAUGAAACAUUUUUUUUCUAGUGAUAUCCUCUAUAGGAUAUCUAAGAAUUGAGGGAAAUGCUUUUAGGAUUUCUAAGCAAAUAACACAAACCAGAACAAAGAAUUAGGGUUUUCUUAGUUAGGCAUAUACAAAUAUUUGGUUCAGAGCUUCACUUGGUAAAAAAAAAAAACAUUGUAAAACCCUAUUAAAAGGGGGGAAGGGGAAAAAAAAAAAGACUCUUAAACUAAUUGAAAAAAAACUAGCACAAUCAAAAUCAAAGAGGUAGAGAAAAGUGUCAUACAUCCAAAAUAAGAUAAAAAGUGGCGAGAGCUUCCUUAUCUCCAAAGAAACCUCUUGUGUACAGUCUAUUUAUUCUAAACAAAUGAGAGGGAGAGAGAGUAAAGAUAAACGAAAAUGGCUUGGGGUUGAGAGAAAGAGAGAGACAGUUGCAUGAGUUGGCUGAAUUUGGUGGAAAAUGGUUGGAGGACAGAGAAUUGAAGGAAAAUGAGAAAAAAAAAAGCUUUUAUACUAUAACACAUUUAUUUAUUUCAUAAAAAUUCACAAUUACUACUUUCCAUUAGAUGUCAAAUUCGAUACUUGGAAAUUUGAGAAAUUUGUUUUGAACUUUGAGUUUAGUAAAUGAUAUACUUACAACCACCCAAUUUGAAAUUUAACAAACAAAUCCUUAUAUUAAAAUGAGUGUUUUAAAAAUCAGUAAUCAAUGAUAUACUUACAACUACCUAAUUUGAAAUUUGAUAAACAAGAAUGAUUGUGGGAGUGUUUUAAAAAUCAAUAAUCAAUGAUAUACUUACAACCACCCAAUUUAAAAUUUGACAAACAAGAAUGAUUGUGACUUCCUUUUAUUAAAAGGAGUAAUCCAAAAUCCAAGAUCGAGCGAUAUGGAUCAAGCAUCAAUAGCACCUUUUCGGAUCCACUAAUAAAACGGGAUCUUGUAUGACAUCAUGACUAGCGACGACGAUUCUCUAUAAAGGGAUGUCAUUUUCUAUAAAGUGAUGUUAUGGCCCAAGAGUUUGGACAAAUUUGUUAUAAAAAAUGGUGGUAGUUGAAACUAGAUAUUGUACGACAUCAUGACUAGCGAUGAUGAUUCUCCAUAAAGCGAUGCCAUGACCCAAGAGUCUGGUCAAAUUUUUUACCGACUUAGACAUGUAGAGACUGUACCUGACAUCAUGUUCACCACAUAAGCAUCUUCACUUUCAUAGUACCGUUGAGGUCACCGUUUAUAGAGGUGUACUCUCCGCAAGUCCUUGAAUGUGGGAUUAAUUUUAGCCUUCUACAUUUCCUUCCAAUAACAAGUUCGCCAUUGCUUCAUUGGAUGCCCAACGGUAAUUGUAAGGGCCUUUAAUAAGUCAUUUUGAGUUUUUUUUUUUUGGGUGAAUUAGUCAUUUUGAGUUGGGAAAGAGUAAAUGCAGAAGCCCUACUUCAUGAUAAAACCUUCAAUACAUUAUUUAGGAUAAAUUCGUAUAUGCUUGAUUGCUUCUAUCUCUCUCUUAUUUAUAUUCGUCUACAUGAAAUAAUCUACAAAAUAAUUCCCUUUUUUUAGAUUAAUGAUAUUUAUUUCUUUUUUUAUAAUCUAUAAAAAAUAAAAGUCCAUAUAGUUAAGUUUUAAUUACAUAUAAUUAUAUAGAAAAUUAUAUUUAAUUAAUUUAUAAAACUUAGUAUAACUAAUUAUUAUUGUUUAUUUAUCUUAAUAACUUGUUAAACUUUUGUCGGUAUAAUCAUAUGAACGUGAUCACAUUAAAAUUUAUAGGGGAUUUUAUUUAUUUUUUAAUUAUAUGAUAUAAAAGUAUUUUCUAAUAAUUUUUAAAUCAUGUUUAUUAUUAUAUUAUAAUUAAUAGUUAUUUAUUAAUGUAUUUAUAUUAUAAAUUUUGUAAUGUAUUAUAUUUUGUUAGGGAAAAGUUUAUAUAGAGCUGAGGCUCUAGACAAUCAAAUUUGAGCCUACCUCCAUAAUUUCACUAUAAGAGGUUGUUUUGAUGCCCGAAUAUUUACAAAUUGAUCAUCUCGACAUCAAGAUGCAUGGACAUGAUAAACAAAUGGAUUGCAAGUUUUAGAAAUAGUGUAUUUUGUAAUGCAUUUUUUGACCGUUAAUUUUCAAGAUUUUCAAGUUGUCAUAGAUAUGUCGAUCUACACUAAUUUUGAAGUUUUAAACUUUAUAAAUAAAUAUGAAACUAUAUUUUAAGGCUGUCACAAAGAUUUCCAAUAUUGAAACAACAUUUCUCGACACUAUUUGAAGGUAGGCUCUAAUUUGAUUGUUAGAGCCUAGGCUCUAUACAAACCACACCCGUUUUGUUAUAGUUGUAAAUAAUUUUUUUAAAUUAAAUGGUAUUAUAAGAUAUUUUAGAUUUGUUUUUAUUUGUAUAAUAAAAUAAUUAUAAAAUAUAAAGUUAUAAACCAUUAAUUUUAAUUUCAGUAUAUGAUAUUAUAAUAAGUUAGGUUGUGAUAAUUUUAGAUGAGUAAAAUUGAUUAAUAAAUAUUUGAUACUUUGAUCUGAUACUAAUUUCACUUUAUAUGAGAAAUUAUUGUUUUUAAUUUUAUAAUAUGGAAGUGUUUUCUAAUAUUUUUAAAUUAUUUUGAUGUAAUAUUAUAAUACUAUAUUACAAUUAGUAAUUAUACUGACAUCCAGAUUGGAAAAAAACAUUUCAGUAUUCACCUAUUUUUACAAAGUAAUGAAAUUAUAUAAUGCACCACUCUUAAAUUCUUUUAGAAACUAAAACGAAUCCGCCGAUUCCCCAAUCCGAUAUGGGUAUGGGUGUGACGAUUCGAGUCACCGAUACGUUUUUCUUAAACCUUGAUUAAAAGUAAGGACAAAGUUUCUAUGAGUUGGCCGACUCACCUAUUCAAAUGAGUCCUCUCCUAAAGUCUAUUUUAGAUAUGGAUUUUGGAUUCAAACUUUUGAGGAAUCUCAACAAUGAUAAGUAGUAACAUGAAUAAUUAAAUAAAAUCUUAAAGACACAAAAAAUUUUUUUUUUGACAUAAUUUUAACACCAUCAAUUUUUUAGAUCAUCAUUGUCCAACAUCCAUAUCCAUUAUGGAUAUUAGAUAUAUUAAGGGAUGCUAUGGUAGAAGUGCAUCCCCCUCAUGCAUGAACUGCUUUUCCUAAAAGUAAACGGACCAAGUUUCUAUGCGGCCACCAAGGUUACAUAUGUAGAAAUGUGGGUCUCUUAAUAAAUUUAUUUUUGAGAUGGAUUUUAAGACUUAAAUUUUAAAGACAUGUAAUCUCUAACAUGGAGAUCAUGAAUAUGAAAAAAUAAAUAAAGUUUAAAAACUAGGAAUAAUAAUUAUAGUAAAAAAAUAUUUAGAUCGUUAGCACUUUUCUCGACUGCAUGUGUAGAAAUGUGGUCCCACCCACAUGAAACAAUGUUCCAAAAGUAAAUGGCGUCUUUGUAUAUUUUUUUGGAUGAAGUUUCUAUAAGGCUUAGAUUUUAAAAUAAAGCAUCACCUAAAAUUCUUGUCCAAAAAGCACUUUCGGCAACAAAAAUCUCCUUUGCCAAUUGACAUGUAGAACAAGUCUAAAAUCAAUUUUCAGCACCGACAAUGAAAUUUGAAACAAACAAAACAGUACAGAUCUUGCAUAUUUNNNNNNNNNNNNNNNNNNNNAAACUUCAUACUCCUGAAAACCCCCAUCUCCAAGAAACCCCAUUUGAUUUUCUCUCUAUAAUAGAGAAAAAGCCCAUCCCCAAUUUUGAGCUUUUUCCAAAUUCACAAAGCAAAACCCCCAUCCCCAAUUUUGAAGAAGCAUACCUUGUUUUUAAUGAAACACAGGUCUUCCAAAGACGUUGCUGCUCUAUCGAGCUUCCUUUUCAGUGAGCUCAGGGGAGAAGAGAGUUCUAUCGAGCUUCUUCCUGUUUUCAAGUCUUCCAAAGCCGUGCUCCAUCUUUUUCCCCAAAAGUCUUCAAAUUUCACAAAAGGUUUUGCAGAAGCGGUUUUCAAUGAAAACAACUACGAAAAAUAAAAAGUAACCUUUAUAUUAACUAUAGUUAAAGCAUUUAAUGAUAAAAAAAAAUUGUGCAUUUUUUUGGGCAUAUUGAUAUUUGCUAAAGUAUUUAAGUAGAUUUGGG